RNAcentral lists this ribosomal RNA (491 nucleotides) under uncultured bacterium. RNAcentral describes it as "partial 16S ribosomal RNA". It matches the Rfam family "Bacterial small subunit ribosomal RNA", at positions 29 to 507 of the family's 1533-position model. The record is from RNAcentral.
GUGCACGCUGGCGGUAGGCCUAACACCUGCAAGUCGAACGGCAGCACAGUAAGAGCUUGCUCUUCCGGGUGGCGAGUGGCGGACGGGUGAGGAAUACAUCGGAAUCUACUUUUUCGUGGGGGAUAACGUAGGGAAACUUACGCUAAUACCGCAUACGACCUACGGGUGAAAGCAGGGGAUCUUCGGACCUUGCGCGAUUGAAUGAGCCGAUGUCGGAUUAGCUAGUUGGCGGGGUAAAGGCCCACCAAGGCGACGAUCCGUAGCUGGUCUGAGAGGAUGAUCAGCCACACUGGAACUGAGACACGGUCCAGACUCCUACGGGAGGCAGCAGUGGGGAAUAUUGGACAAUGGGCGCAAGCCUGAUCCAGCCAUACCGCGUGGGUGAAGAAGGCCUUCGGGUUGUAAAGCCCUUUUGUUGGGAAAGAAAAGCAGCAGGUUAAUACCCCGCUGUUCUGACGGUACCCAAAGAAUAAGCACCGGCUAACUUCGUG